This 468-nucleotide ribosomal RNA is filed under the name uncultured bacterium. RNAcentral describes it as "partial 16S ribosomal RNA". It matches the Rfam family "Bacterial small subunit ribosomal RNA", at positions 28 to 507 of the family's 1533-position model. The record is from RNAcentral.
GACGAACGCUGGCGGCGUGCUUAACACAUGCAAGUCGAACGGAAAGGCCCUGCCUUUGUGGGGUGCUCGAGUGGCGAACGGGUGAGUAACACGUGAGUAACCUGCCCUUGACUUUGGGAUAACUUCAGGAAACUGGGGCUAAUACCGGAUAGGAGCUCCUGCUGCAUGGUGGGGGUUGGAAAGUUUCGGCGGUUGGGGAUGGACUCGCGGCUUAUCAGCUUGUUGGUGGGGUAGUGGCUUACCAAGGCUUUGACGGGUAGCCGGCCUGAGAGGGUGACCGGCCACAUUGGGACUGAGAUACGGCCCAGACUCCUACGGGAGGCAGCAGUGGGGAAUAUUGCACAAUGGGCGGAAGCCUGAUGCAGCAACGCCGCGUGCGGGAUGACGGCCUUCGGGUUGUAAACCGCUUUCGCCUGUGACGAAGCGUGGGUGACGGUAAUGGGUAAAGAAGCACCGGCUAACUACGUG